This 207-nucleotide ribosomal RNA is filed under the name uncultured bacterium. RNAcentral describes it as "partial 16S ribosomal RNA". It matches the Rfam family "Bacterial small subunit ribosomal RNA", at positions 568 to 774 of the family's 1533-position model. The record is from RNAcentral.
CACGUAGGCGGUUAAUUAAGUCAGGUGUGAAAGUUUUCGGCUCAACCGGAAAAGUGCACUUGAAACUGGAUAACUUGAGUAUCGGAGAGGUAAGCGGAAUUCCUAGUGUAGCGGUGAAAUGCGUAGAGAUUAGGAAGAACACCGGUGGCGAAGGCGGCUUACUGGACGAUAACUGACGCUGAGGUGCGAAAGCGUGGGGAGCGAACA